Triticum aestivum (bread wheat) is the source of this 135-nucleotide non-coding RNA. NCBI's taxonomy places the organism in Eukaryota, Viridiplantae, Streptophyta, Magnoliopsida, Poales, Poaceae. The record is from Rfam.
UAAAUACUCCCUCCAUCCGAAAAUACUUGUCAUCAAAAUGGAUAAAAAGAGAUGUAUCUAAAACUAAAAUACGUUUAGAUACAUUUCCUUUUAUCCAUAUUGAUUGCAAGUAUUUCCGGAUAGAGGGAGUAUUUA